UGCAGUGGAGCGACGAACCAGGGCUUGCCCUGGGGCAGAGCCGCGAACGGGUGAGUAACACGUGGGUAACGUGCCCCGAUGACUGGGACAACCCGGGGAAACCCGGGCUAAUACCGGAUAUGCCCCCUCACAUCAGUGAGGUGUGUAAAGGAAGCUUCGGCCUCCGCAUCGGGAUCGGCCCGCGGCGCAUUAGCUUGUUGGUGAGGUAACGGCUCACCAAGGCAACGAUGCGUAGCUGGUCUGAGAGGACGAUCAGCCACACUGGGACUGAGACACGGCCCAGACUCCUACGGGAGGCAGCAGUGGGGAAUCUUGCACAAUGCGCGAAAGCGUGAUGCAGCAACGCCGCGUGCGGGAAGACGGCCUUCGGGUUGUAAACCGCUUUCAGUUGGGACGAAGGUCGAGUGGUUAAUAGCCAUUUCGGCUGACGGUACCUUCACAAGAAGCCCCGGCUAACUACGUGCCAGCAGCCGCGGUAAUACGUAAGGGGCAAGCGUUGUCCGGAAUCAUUGGGCGUAAANAGCGUGUAGGCGGCCUGAUAAGUCGGUUGUGAAAGUCAAGGGCUCACCCUUGAAUGNCGACCGAUACUGUCAGGCUAGAGUCCGGAANANGCGAGUGNAUUCCUGGNGGUAGCGGGUGAAAUGCGCAGAUAUCAGGGAGGAACACCUAUGGGCNAAGGCAGCUCGCUGGGNCNGGUACUGACGCUGA
Molecule: ribosomal RNA, 708 nt
Filed under: uncultured bacterium
Lineage: Bacteria
Description: bacterial SSU rRNA
Rfam family: Bacterial small subunit ribosomal RNA
Source: RNAcentral